Molecule: small nuclear RNA, 106 nt
Organism: Octodon degus (degu)
Lineage: Eukaryota; Metazoa; Chordata; Mammalia; Rodentia; Octodontidae
Source: Ensembl
GUGCUCACUUUGGCAGCACAUAUACUAAAAUUGGAAUGACACAAUUGGAUUAGUACAGCCCCUGUGCAAGGAUGACACACAAAUUCAUGAAGUGUUCCAUAUUUUU